This 379-nucleotide ribosomal RNA is filed under the name uncultured bacterium. RNAcentral's name for it is "bacterial SSU rRNA". It matches the Rfam family "Bacterial small subunit ribosomal RNA", at positions 30 to 403 of the family's 1533-position model. The record is from RNAcentral.
AUUGAACGCUGGCGGCAUGCCUUACACAUGCAAGUCGAACGGCAGCAUGGAAGAGCUUGCUCUUCUGAUGGCGAGUGGCGAACGGGUGAGUAAAGCAUCGGAACGUACCGUGUAGUGGGGGAUAACGUAGCGAAAGUUACGCUAAUACCGCAUACGCACUGAGGUGGAAAGCAGGGGGAUCGCAAGACCUUGCGCUAUACGAGCGGCCGAUGUCAGAUUAGCUAGUUGGUAGGGUAAAGGCCUACCAAGGCGACGAUCUGUAGCGGGUCUGAGAGGAUGAUCCGCCACACUGGGACUGAGACACGGCCCAGACUCCUACGGAGGCAGCAGUGGGGAAUUUUGGACAAUGGGCGAAAGCCUGAUCCAGCCAUGCUGCGUG